GGUUAAGUUAGAAAGGGCGCACGGUGGAUGCCUUGACACUAGGAGUCGAUGAAGGACGGGACUAACGCCGAUAUGCUUCGGGGAGCUGUAAGUAAGCUUUGAUCCGAAGAUUUCCGAAUGGGGAAACCCACUAUACGUAAUGGUAUGGUAUCCUUACCUGAAUACAUAGGGUAUGGAAGACAGACCCAGGGAACUGAAACAUCUAAGUACCUGGAGGAAGAGAAAGCAAAUGCGAUUUCCUGAGUAGCGGCGAGCGAAACGGAAUCUAGCCCAAACCAAGAGGCUUGCCUCUUGGGGUUGUAGGACAUUCUAUACGGAGUUACAAAGGAACGAGGUAGACGAAGCGACCUGGAAAGGUCCGUCACAGAGGGUAAUAACCCCGUAGUCGAAACUUCGUUCUCUCUUGAAUGUAUCCUGAGUACGGCGGAACACGUGAAAUUCCGUCGGAAUCUGGGAGGACCAUCUCCCAAGGCUAAAUACUCCCUAGUGAUCGAUAGUGAACCAGUACCGUGAGGGAAAGGUGAAAAGCACCCCGGAAGGGGAGUGAAAGAGAUCCUGAAACCGUGUGCCUACAAAUAGUCAGAGCCCGUUAAUGGGUGAUGGCGUGCCUUUUGUAGAAUGAACCGGCGAGUUACGAUCCCGUGC
RNAcentral lists this ribosomal RNA (645 nucleotides) under Bacillus cereus. RNAcentral describes it as "partial 23S ribosomal RNA". It matches the Rfam family "Bacterial large subunit ribosomal RNA", at positions 1 to 641 of the family's 2925-position model. The record is from RNAcentral. RNAcentral also lists the same sequence under 2 other names. Lineage: Bacteria; Bacillati; Bacillota; Bacilli; Caryophanales; Bacillaceae.